GCCAGCAGCCAUAUCACCCUGCAACUCACAACUGGCAGCCCACUGAAGCUCAGCAGGUGUGAGCCUGGUCAGUACCUGGAUGGAGACCUCCUGGGAAAAACUAAGGUUGCUUCUGGAA
RNAcentral lists this ribosomal RNA (118 nucleotides) under Lepisosteus oculatus (spotted gar). Lineage: Eukaryota; Metazoa; Chordata; Actinopteri; Semionotiformes; Lepisosteidae. The record is from RNAcentral.